GAUGAACGCUGGCGGCGUGCCUAAUACAUGCAAGUCGAGCGAACAGAUAAGGAGCUUGCUCCUUUGACGUUAGCGGCGGACGGGUGAGUAACACGUGGGUAACCUACCUAUAAGACUGGAAUAACUCCGGGAAACCGGGGCUAAUGCCGGAUAACAUUUAGAACCGCAUGGUUCUAAAGUGAAAGAUGGUUUUGCUAUCACUUAUAGAUGGACCCGCGCCGUAUUAGCUAGUUGGUAAGGUAACGGCUUACCAAGGCAACGAUACGUAGCCGACCUGAGAGGGUGAUCGGCUACACUGGAACUGAGACACGGUCCAGACUCCUACGGGAGGCAGCAGUAGGGAAUCUUCCGCAAUGGGCGAAAGCCUGACGGAGCAACGCCGCGUGAGUGAUGAAGGUCUUCGGAUCGUAAAACUCUGUUAUUAGGGAAGAACAAAUGUGUAAGUAACUGUGCACGUCUUGACGGUACCUAAUCAGAAAGCCACGGCUAACUACGUG
This 497-nucleotide ribosomal RNA is filed under the name uncultured bacterium. RNAcentral describes it as "partial 16S ribosomal RNA". It matches the Rfam family "Bacterial small subunit ribosomal RNA", at positions 28 to 507 of the family's 1533-position model. The record is from RNAcentral.